Molecule: ribosomal RNA, 538 nt
Filed under: uncultured Geobacter sp.
Lineage: Bacteria; Pseudomonadati; Thermodesulfobacteriota; Desulfuromonadia; Geobacterales; Geobacteraceae
Description: bacterial SSU rRNA
Rfam family: Bacterial small subunit ribosomal RNA
Source: RNAcentral
AGAGUUUGAUCCUGGCUCAGAACGAACGCUGGCGGCGUGCCUAACACAUGCAAGUCGAACGGAGUGAAGGAGCUUGCUCUUUCAUUUAGUGGCGCACGGGUGAGUAACGCGUAGAUAAUCUGCCUUGGACUCUGGGAUAACAUCUCGAAAGGGGUGCUAAUACCGGAUAAGCCCACGAUGGCGUAAGUCAUUGCGGGAAAAGGGGGCCUCUGAAUAUGCUCCUGAUUCAAGAUGAGUCUGCGUACCAUUAGCUAGUUGGUAGGGUAAGAGCCUACCAAGGCGACGAUGGUUAGCUGGUCUGAGAGGAUGAUCAGCCACACUGGAACUGAGACACGGUCCAGACUCCUACGGGAGGCAGCAGUGGGGAAUUUUGCGCAAUGGGGGAAACCCUGACGCAGCAACGCCCGUGAGUGAUGAAGGCUUUCGGGUCGUAAAGCUCUGUCUAGAGGGAAGAAAUGAUAGUCGGUUAAUACCCGGUUUUCUUGACGGUACCUCUGAAGGAAGCACCGGCUAACUCCGUGCCAGCAGCCGCGGUAAA